Molecule: unclassified non-coding RNA, 233 nt
Filed under: uncultured fungus
Lineage: Eukaryota; Fungi
Description: sequence contains ITS1
Source: RNAcentral
GUAUUGAUUGCGUAUGAUCGCAAAUGAAUGACAUUCUAAACUAGAAGGGUGUUUGUAUGAAAAACGCGAACCUCCCCCUCUUGAAGCAAGCCAAGAGGAAGAGACCCCGCGCGGUGAUGCACAAAGGGUGAAAUGGAUUGAGAGCACUCGGGCGUGCACGACCAAAAAGUCAGCGACAGCCCUCGCGCCUCGGUUUUACGAUAAUGAUCCUUCCGCAGGUUCACCUACGGAAA